This 305-nucleotide unclassified non-coding RNA is filed under the name air metagenome. RNAcentral's name for it is "partial contains small subunit ribosomal RNA, internal transcribed spacer 1, and 5.8S ribosomal RNA". The stretch from base 1 to 46 matches the Rfam family "Eukaryotic small subunit ribosomal RNA", at positions 1786 to 1831 of the family's 1831-position model. The record is from RNAcentral.
AAGUCGUAACAAGGUUUCCGUAGGUGAACCUGCGGAAGGAUCAUUAUUGAAUUCAAACGCGAAGUUGUGCUGGCUCUCUUCGGGCAUGUGCACGCGACGCAUAUAUUCAACCACCUGUGAAUCUAUUGUAGACCUGAGAAUAUUUCUCAAGGAAACUUGGACGAGGGGCUUGUUGGCAUUCAGUCGACUGCUCUUGCUUCCCAGGUCUAUGUCUUUACAAACCCCAAAUAACGUAAAAGAAUGAUCAAUGGCUUGUAUGAGCCUUAAAUCUAAUACAACUUUCAACAACGGAUCUCUUGGCUCUC